Molecule: long non-coding RNA, 918 nt
Filed under: Homo sapiens (human)
Lineage: Eukaryota; Metazoa; Chordata; Mammalia; Primates; Hominidae
Description: HSALNT0095422
Source: RNAcentral
AGUGGGAGGGAAUGCGGGAGGUGAUUCUUCCAAAGCCAAGUCUGCAGCUCGAGCCUCAGUUUCCCCAUCUGGAAUUCGCCUUCCCGCUGACAUCUCCGUAGCGAAGCCUAAGAAAUUGGAGGGCUCAUCCUCUUCUUGCGGGGGUCAAGGGGACUGAAAGGACGUGCAGGAAAUGAGAUCCAUCGCAGACUCAGCUCCCCUCCCUCCUUCCUGUCGGUGCUUUUCCACUCACUCGCCUGCUCUCCCAUCUCCCCGCCCCCUCCGCCUGCCUCCUCGAAGCACUGUGGGAUUCCGAGGUUGCUGCAGCCAGAGAAGCUGCAGAAAAACACGGAGCUGGGGGUGAAGGGGGACUUAAAAGGGGAACUACCCGGAAGGACCCAAGAACACAAAGACAGAGCCACUGCGGUUAUCUGGCUGGUCAGCAAGGGUAUGCGGCUUCCUCCGCGCUGCGGAGGCUCCCAGAGCCAGGUCACCCAUUCUGCCAGCUCAAGUCUGUUGUCAUGGGAACCAAACCUUCCAACUUAAGAAUCUGGGAACAUGAAAGGUUCCAAGUGAGUUCCAAAAAAGGGCUCCAAACCAAGUAGCAGCAAUGUGGAAGAGUCAGGGAGCUGAACCAGGCGCCCACUCCUUUACUGUGGCCAAACGGCCCUGAGGUGAGCUCUGGUGGGGCAGCAGCCACCAUGUAUUAAUCAUCUCUAGCCCUGUGCCCAAGUAAAGUGUCUGGCACCUUUAGCUUUUUCACAGUGAUUUGUCAGGUCAACCAGGGAUUUGAGGCAGGAAAGACUAGAGGAGCCUGGACUAGAGUGAAAAGAAAACAGCUCAGAAAUUCACACAGGAAGCUGUAAGGCAGUACUGUUUCAAUGCUUUAUUAACAGUUGGAAACAAAACCAACAAACUGGAGGUGAUGACAUCCCAGAA